UCGAUGGAAAACAUUCGAUUGAUUUAACCAUUGUUAAAAAGUUAUCAACUUUAAUAUUUGCAUAUUUACAUUGUCAGACAAUUUAAUCAAUUUGGGUCGGACUGGAAGUUGCUGUGCAUUUUAUUUUUCCACCGCAAACCCGGCGUCGAUAACCACACCCAUGUAAGGUGUGGUUUUUAUAUAUUCCGUCAGGAUGAUCUUAUCGAGCUAAGAAAAAUUACAUCUCACAUGUCAUGGCACACCUCUCUAAGACGUGAAUGAAGAGGUGUUAUUUAACAGCAGAAAUACUGAUACAAACUAACCUGAUGCCUAUGCAACUUUGUCUUCUGGGCGAAACUCUUCUCACACGUGGCACACUUGUGGGGCUUCUCUUUAGUGUGGGUGCACGGAAACCGGACCGGAUUCUCGGAAUGAUCCACUUUAAAGUGCUUCACAAGACUACCCUUGGUCAAAAAUAUUCUGCCGCAGUGGUCUGAAGUGCAUGGAAAUCGGGGUCGUUCCAUCGUGUU
Long non-coding RNA from Folsomia candida, 509 nucleotides. RefSeq lists it as uncharacterized. The record is from RefSeq and is a predicted model, not a curated record. The transcript is spliced from 3 exons. NCBI's taxonomy places the organism in Eukaryota, Metazoa, Arthropoda, Collembola, Entomobryomorpha, Isotomidae.